This is a long non-coding RNA of Megalobrama amblycephala (Wuchang bream), 445 nucleotides long. RefSeq lists it as uncharacterized. The record is from RefSeq and is a predicted model, not a curated record. NCBI's taxonomy places the organism in Eukaryota, Metazoa, Chordata, Actinopteri, Cypriniformes, Xenocyprididae. The transcript has 3 exons.
UGCAAUUCUGAGCGUUUAUAUCCGGUCAGCCUGUCUGUUGUUGAUCUUGCCUGUUACCCGUUUACGAUUCCUCUGCUGCCUACCCCUGACCUGUGCUUUGCAUACCGACCUGUGAGUGAUAUCUGCCUGUCCUGAUCAUUGCCUGUAUCCCAACCACUACUCUGCCUGUCCCUUGCUGUUAACUUCUCUGUUUCCACCUGUAGUUUCAACUUGAUAAAAAAUCCCAGAGCCGAAGAUGGACUCCAAGGAUGGGGGAUUGUAGAGAAUGGAGGUGACGGCUGGGUGACAGGAACCAAUAAUAAACCACAUCCAGACGACACGGUCACCAACUGUUUUAUAACAUCUUACGGUUUAUCUUUGAAGCGACAGCUGAUUGAUUUGAAGAAAGAAGGCUACAGUGAUGCUUUCAUGGAUCUGCAACCUCAUAUCAGAAUAUCAGACUGGU